GGAGAUGUGGUCUUGUGGAUAAGGCAACUGACUCAAAGUAGAAUCUUAGGGAAGAGAGGCCGAAGGCGCCUACGGCGACUCGGAAUGCUCUUUUUAAGAUUUGUUGUGAGCUCAUUUAACGGUAGUUCGAAUCUAUCCAUCUCUG
This 145-nucleotide transfer RNA is filed under the name Botrytis cinerea. Its description in RNAcentral is "tRNA-Leu". It matches the Rfam family "tRNA". Rfam says of the family: Transfer RNA (tRNA) molecules are approximately 80 nucleotides in length. Lineage: Eukaryota; Fungi; Ascomycota; Leotiomycetes; Helotiales; Sclerotiniaceae. The record is from RNAcentral. RNAcentral also lists the same sequence under 2 other names.